GACGAACGCUGGCGGCGUGCUUAACACAUGCAGGUCGAACGGAAAGGCCCUGCUUUUGUGGGGUGCUCGAGUGGCGAACGGGUGAGUAACACGUGAGUAACCUGCCCUUGACUUUGGGAUAACUUCAGGAAACUGGGGCUAAUACCGGAUAGGAGCUCCUGCUGCAUGGUGGGGGUUGGAAAGUUUCGGCGGUUGGGGAUGGACUCGCGGCUUAUCAGCUUGUUGGUGGGGUAGUGGCUUACCAAGGCUUUGACGGGUAGCCGGCCUGAGAGGGUGACCGGCCACAUUGGGACUGAGAUACGGCCCAGACUCCUACGGGAGGCAGCAGUGGGGAAUAUUGCACAAUGGGUGGAAGCCUGAUGCAGCAACGCCGUGUGCGGGAUGACGGCCUUCGGGUUGUAAACCGCUUUCGCUCAUGACGAAGCUUUGUGUGACGGUAGUGGGUAAAGAAGCACCGGCUAACUACGUG
This 469-nucleotide ribosomal RNA is filed under the name uncultured bacterium. RNAcentral describes it as "partial 16S ribosomal RNA". It matches the Rfam family "Bacterial small subunit ribosomal RNA", at positions 28 to 507 of the family's 1533-position model. The record is from RNAcentral.